Molecule: ribosomal RNA, 253 nt
Filed under: uncultured bacterium
Lineage: Bacteria
Description: partial 16S ribosomal RNA
Rfam family: Bacterial small subunit ribosomal RNA
Source: RNAcentral
UACGUAGGGUGCGAGCGUUGUCCGGAAUUAUUGGGCGUAAAGAGCUCGUAGGCGGUUUGUCGCGUCGGGAGUGAGAACCCAGGGCUUAACCCUGGGCUGGCUUCCGAUACGGGCAGACUAGAGGUAUGCAGGGGAGAACGGAAUUCCUGGUGUAGCGGUGAAAUGCGCAGAUAUCAGGAGGAACACCGGUGGCGAAGGCGGUUCUCUGGGCAUUACCUGACGCUGAGGAGCGAAAGUGUGGGGAGCGAACAGG